This 6526-nucleotide long non-coding RNA is filed under the name Sus scrofa (pig). RNAcentral's name for it is "lncRNA (ENSSSCG00035073510.1)". The record is from RNAcentral. Lineage: Eukaryota; Metazoa; Chordata; Mammalia; Artiodactyla; Suidae.
UUUUUUUUUUUGGUUGGGUUGUUUGUUUUUUUCAUAUAAAGCUGCAUGAGCUAUUUGUAUAUUUUGGAAAUUAAUCUCUUAUUAGUCACAUUAUUUGCAAAUAUUUUUUCCCAUUCCAUAGGUUGUAUUUUCAUUUUGUUUAUGGUUGCCUUUGCUCUGCAAAAGAUUUUAAGUUUAAUUAGGUCCAACUUGUUUAUUUUUGCUUUUGAUUCUAUUACUCUAGAAAACAAAUUAAAAAAUAUUGCUAUAAUUAAUGCCAAAGAGUGUCUGCCUAUGUUUUCCUCUAGUUAUAUGGUAUGUGAUCUUAAAUUUAAGUCUUUAAUCCAUUUUAAGUUUAUUUUUGUAUACAGUAUUAGAAAGUGCUCUAAUUUCAUUCUUUUGCAUUUAACUGUCUAGUUUUCCCUUCAAUAAGCAACACUUAUUGAAGAGACUGUCUUUUCCCCAUUGUAUAUUCUUACCUAUUUUGUCAUAGAUUAUUGACCAUAGGUGUAUGGGUUUAUUUCUGGGCUUUUUAUCCUGUUCCACUGAUCUAUGUGUCCAUGUUAUUGUUUGUUUGUUUAGUUUGUUUUUGUGCCAGGACCAUACUGUUUUGAUGACUAUAGCUUUGCAGUAUAAUUUGAAGUCAGGGAACAUGAACCUCCACCUCUGUUCUUUCUCAAGAUUAUUUUGGCUAUUCAGGAUCCUGUGUGUUUCCAUAUAAACUUUUAAUUUUUUUGUUCUAGUUCUACGAAAAAUGUCAUUUAUAAUUUGAUAGGGAUUGACUGAAUCUAUAGAUUGCAUUGGGUAGUAUGAUCAUUUUCACCAUAUCAGUUCUUCCAACCCAAGAAUAUGGUAUAUCUUUCCAUCUGUUUGUGAAAUCUUCAAUUUCUUUCAUCAGUGUCUUACAGUUUUCAGAGUACAAGUCUUUUGCUUCCUUAGGUAGGUUUAUUCCUAGAUAUUUUGUUCUUUUUGAUGUGAUGGUAAAUGGGAUUAUUGCUUAAUUUCUCUUUUUAAUACUUCAUUAUUAGUGUACAGAAAUGCAAUAGAUUUCUGUGUAUUACAUUAAUAUCCUGCAACUUUACCAAAUUCACUGAUGAGUUUUAGAAGUUUUCUGGUGGCACCCUUAGGAUUUUCUAUGGAUAGACCAAGAGAUUUCUAUACUAAGUGAAGUCAAACACUCAGACAGAGAAAGACAAAUAUCAAAUGAUAUCGCUUAUAUGUGGAACCUUAAACAAAGGAACUCAUUUACAAAACAUAAACAGACUCACAGAAAAGAAAAAGAACUUAUGGUUACCUAAGGGGAAAGGGGGAAAGGGAUAAAUUAGGUAUUUGGAAUUAACAGGUACAUACUACUAUAUAUAAAAUAAAUAACAAAGACCAACUGUAGCACAGGGAAUUAUAUUCAGUAUCUUGUAAGAACUUAUAGUGGAAAAGAAUGUGAAAAAGAGUACAUAUGCAUAUCUAUAUGUAAAACUGAAUUACUUUUGCUGUACACCUGAAACACUCUAAAUAAAGAAUAUACUGAUGAAAAAUUAAAAUUAAGAAAAAAGAAAAGAAAAAAACUAUUCAAUGCCAUAGUUAAGAGGUCUACUACCAUACAACUUUUGGGCCCAGGCUAUUUUAAUAUUGUCUCCCCAAACACAAUCAUAGAGCCCCAUAGCCUUUCUUUAUCCAGGACUUCUGUAUUACUUUUGCUAUUCACAACAUGAUUUCAGAGAUCUCCCUCAAAAAAAAAAAGAAAUGCAAACCAAUCCAAGUUGUGGUGCCACAAGUAUCAUAUCAACAAUAAAAAAAUUCUUCAAAAUAAUGUGGUAUAUAUACACAAUGGAAUACUACUCAGCCAUAAAAAAGAAUGACAUAAUGCCAUUUGCAGCAACAUGGAUGGAACUAGAGAAUCUCAUACUGAGUGAAAUGAGCCAGAAAGACAAAGACAAAUACCAUAUGAUAUCACUUAUAACUGGAAUCUAAUAUCCAGCACAAAUGAACAUCUCCUCAGAAAAGAAAAUCAUGGACUUGGAGAAGAGACUUGUGGCUGCCUGAUGGGAGGGGGAGGGAGUGGGAGGGAUCGGGAGCUUGGGCUUAUCAGACACAACUUAGAAUAGAUUUACAAGGAGAUCCUGCUGAAUAGCAUUGAGAACUAUGUCUAGAUACUCAUGUUGCAACAGAAGAAAAGGUGGGGGAAAAAAUGUAAUUGUAAUGUAUACAUGUAAGGAUAACCUGACCCCCUUGCUGUACAGUGGGAAAAUGUUUAUUAUUUUGACACUGAGCUGGCUUUCUCAAAGCAUUUUCACUCAAAGGAAAUAUUAUGAACUACUCAAAUAAAUAUUAUGCUAUUUAAAAUAUUCUUAGUUUUGCUUAGAAAACUAGCAUACUGACAAGAUUUGCACACUAAAUCUCUCAAAAGGAAUCUUCCAACUUCAUUAAUAAAUUUAAAACUCUACUACCAAACUUGCAACAGAAAGAAAAAUCUCAACUUAUGAAAGAGUAAUUGGUUUUUACUGCCCUUCCCAUGAACCCUAUGUAGAUUGCCCUUUAGGUGCCAAUUUUGGAGGAUUGAUAUUAGAUUUUAUUAAGAGAAUAAUAGGAAAUGAAGUUCAAAAUAUUUAAUCACUGUAUAGUAAGGACACAAAUCCAUCUGAAAAGACAUUUGUCUAGUGUUGGAGGCCAGUUUCAGUCCCUAGCUGGGUCAGACAUUAUCCCUUGAUUUGCCAGAUAGUGAGAAGUAUGGAGGUUUGCCAGGCCAUCGAGAUUACUGGGGGAAUUCAAGACAGUUAUUAUUUAUCAACUUUUGUGAAAAUAUAACAAUACAGCUAUCAAUGAGCUAGUAUGCACCAACUAAAUAUCAACUAAAAUAGAAUUUGUUCUCCUUCAUCUUCAUGGACCCACAAGCCUUACCUGAAAAACUCAAUCCCUUCACAGGACAUCAAGCAAAACAAAUGCAUUGUACUUUUACUCAAGAUUUAUAAGUCACAAGAAGGGGCCAAAGAUCUUAUUACAUAACAUGCAGCUCUUUUCAGGUCUCUCCAAUGUGUCUCCAGCCAAAGAAUCUUUGUAUGUCUUUAUUCCCUUGUCCACUUAACCUCAAAGGUAGCAGAGAAAAAUAUCAUUUUCCUGAAUAUUUUCCUCUUGCCUUUAAAUCAGGAUUUCUCAACCUUGGCACUACUGAUAGGUUGGAUUAGAUAAUGCUCUAUUCUGGAAAUGGGGGGAUGUGGGGAUGGCUUGUACACUGUAGGACAUCUAGCACCAUCCCUGGACUCCACCCACCAAUUUCUAGUAACAUCAUCCCUCUCAAGUUAUGACAACCAAAAAUGUUUCCAGACGUUGCUAAAUGUCUCUUAGGGGGCAAAAAAAUUACACUAAAUUUAUUACUCAUUUCUUACUCAAAGUAAUUUAAAAGUUCUAUUUUAGUGCAUUUAAACCUCCAUACAUAUAUCCACAAGUAGCUCAGAAAACAAAGGACACAUGCUCCUAGUGGGUGAAGGGGAUUCUAUUCUGUUGUUGUUGAUGGCCAGAGGGUUUCUGUAGGACUAGAAAAACACCUUGGAUGCGAUAGGUAUUCAGUGAGACCAUGAACUUUAUUAUUCCAAGUAGUUUUUGUUUUGUGUUUGGUAUGUUGAAAAUAUCUUGAAAGAUAAAACACACUUUAUUAUUGUGUGGUAUGUAAAAUCUUUAUGAUGACAAGGUCUAAAAUCAAUCCUAUAUGUAAUAUUAGAAUUAUGUAUUAGUCUAUUAUGUAAUAGUCUGAGAUCUUUUUGCUUGGUUUGCACAAUCCUUAGGAGUGAGAGAAAUUAGGGUUAGCAUGCCGUUUGAAGACUGCUUAGCCAUUCUGUUUGGAUAUUCUUCCUUCCUUGUUCAAUCAUUUUUUACCCUUAUUGUAAUUUUUAUUCCUCUCAUUAUCCAAGUCAUAUGUAGGUGUCAUUAAUUGUUAAGCUCAGAACCAAUACUAACAUCUAGUUUACUUUACAAGUAAACUCAGAUCAUUAUGAGAAAUUUCUUUCAAAAUAUAUUCUGCUUUUUAUAGCAAAUUAUCUUUGCAUUGUAGUAUGUUUUGUUUUAGCAAAAUUCUCUUUUAACCAAAUCAGAUUUCCUAAGAAAAUACUAUCUACAAAAAUAAUCCAAUCAUUGACAAAAAUAAAGUGGGUAAAGUUUGUAUUUGAUUUUCUGGACUUUUGACAAUCAUUAAAUUAAGAUUUAUGGAGAUUACAUUCUUUGUUCAUUAUUCCAUGUUAAUUAAACUAUCAGAAACAUUGUUUUAAUAAUACUGACUUUAUCUUCAUAAAGGCACUCAAUUAUAUUUUGUAAUUUAAAAGUAGGAUUCUAAUUCACAAUAAGAAAAUUGAAUAUUAAUUCACCAUCAUUUCUUAGAAUAGCAAAUAGAAAUUUUAUUUCUAGAAAAACACAGAAAUAUGAAUUACUAAAUUUAUACAUUAAGCCUUUUAUUAAUUCCUUUUAAUAGUUAAUACAUACAGUUAAAAUACUUCAUACCAGAACCAUAAUUAUCAUCAAUAAAUAUGCUUAACUUGAAAUAACAUAUAUUUCCUGAUUCUGGUUUUCAUGAAAAUAUCAUGGAAGAAAUAUGUAGCAAACCUCAAAAGCAUGCAAAAAACUACUCUGGAAUAUUUUACCAUAACAUGUUUGCCUUUUAUCUAUAUACACAUAUGGAUUUAUGUUCUACCAUUUAUUUUCAUGAAAUUUAGUCCAUGAAAACUCUAGAGCCAUUCAUUGCCAGAAUUAUCUAAUUAGGAACAUAAUUUUAAAAGGGUAAUUUUGAUAAGGUUCCUUUUUUGCCCAGAAUAUGACAUAGAAUAGACCUGAAAGUACUGAUAUAAACUCUAUUGAAGCAUUAUCAGUGAUAUUGUCCCUCCUGAUGUUUUUAACUCUUGACUUUUUUUUUUCUUGGCAAAGCUAGAGGAUAAAAACAUUUCUAAUUUAAAUCAAUCUCUUUUAAUGCAAAUUCCUCCUCUAUGGAGAAUUCAAAUUGGGAAGAUGUAGUGGAAAUAACUAAUGGCAAGUGUUUCUUUCCAAUGAAAUAUAAAUAUUAAAAAAUGCUGAUGACAGAACAGCCAAAUAUUCCAGAAAUAACAACAGCUGAUCUUGAUAAAAGUAAAAAGAAACAUUUUAAAACAGAAGUAGUUUAAUUUAAUCAUUUUCUGUUGGAUUUGUCUUACUUUUAGCUAGCUAUGUCACCCUAUUAAAGGCUUAUUUUCUGUUUUACUGCUGAUGGAUUUUGCACAGGCUGGUGAAAUAUCGUCCCCUACUGUUCAAGUCUGAUAAAUUGAUCAUAAGAAAAGUUUUUGUUUCAGCCUAUAAAAUGUGGCUACCCCGAGAACUCUGUGUGGAUCAUAGAAUGCAAAGAAUAGAGUUCCUUCAUAUAGUUCUAAUCACAUAGCCAUUAAAGUAUCUAUUUUAAAUUAAUUCAGUUGAGGCAUUUUCUAAUUGAGUUGAUUACUGCCAUGCUGGAUAAUUUUAACCAUAAACCUAAGAAAGGAUAUGUAUUAUUUUACCUAUCAUUUUUAGUGUGAAGAAAUACUAUAUUUAGCAAAUAAAUAUAUUAUUCCACUUAAAAUAUUAUAUUCCUAUUCAUGACUACUUUAUUAAACUGUGUGCAUAUAAAACUGGAUUUUUUUUCAACAACUCACUUAUACAUUAUUGUGUAAUUCAUUAGAGAAAAAAGUAUUUUUAAUAUAAAAUAUUUAGAAGGCAUAAUUUAAUUAUAAUAUAAGCAACUCUUCCAAUCUAUAGGCCUGCAAUUUGAUGAAUUUUAAUAGAAGGAAUAUUUUAAAUAUAUGCUUACAUGUUUAAAAGCCAUUUAUCCUCAUUUCAACCCUUUUUUGGAUAUAUUAUUACAUGUUUUGGGAGGCUGGACUUAUAUCUAUCCAUAGGGCUUUUAUACUUGUAACUGAAAGAUAAGUAUCUAAAGCAAUUGUGCUGUUUGAAUUUAUAUUAAAUUGUAAAAAUUAACAAAAGAUACCUUUUUGAAGAAUUAUCUACAGAGUGUUAAGGGUCUCGUUCUCUUGCAGUUAUUUUUUUACUGCACUUCUUUUUUACUAGUCUUUUAAACAUUUGGUUGAAAGAAAAGAAAAAAAUACCUCGAACUGAUUUAUUCUUAAGCAAAUUACCUUUAAAAUCAAAGAUAAUUUUCUUUCCAUUUCUGCUCUAACCAACCAAAGGGCAACAAAGCUUUUUUAUUUUAUCUAAAAAUUGACAUCUCAGUCAUUAUUGAAACUAAGAGUGAGUAUGUCUAUAAGGAGCAGAGACAGAAAUGCAAAAUUCAAAGCCAUGGGUGUCAGUUUUGCAGUCUACCCUUCACUCAUAGAAGAAUAUUUAGAGUUCUAUUGGGAGCAUUUUAAAAAUUUAAACAAACAGUAUUGUAUGAAAAAAAUAAAGAACAUACAAUUUUCAUAUUGUAUGAAAAAAAUAAAAAGCAGUCAAUACAGGAGAAUAGACAGUAGUUAAAUAGGUUAAAAAAAUUGAUAAUACGCCAACUUAGACCUCAUAGACUACUUAUAAAUUCCAUAAAGUCAGUGUAGAGAUGGCCUGGGUAACU